UACGUAGGUGGCAAGCGUUGUCCGGAUUUAUUGGGUUUAAAGGGUGCGUAGGCGGCCCUGUAAGUCAGUGCUGAAAUAUCCCGGCUUAACCGGGAGGGUGGCAUUGAUACUGCGGGGCUAGAGUACAGAUGAGGUAGGCGGAAUUGACGGUGUAGCGGUGAAAUGCAUAGAUAUUGUCAAGAACACCGAUUGCGUAGGCAGCUUACUAAGCUAUAACUGACGCUGAGGCACGAAAGUGUGGGGAUCAAACAGG
Molecule: ribosomal RNA, 253 nt
Filed under: uncultured bacterium
Lineage: Bacteria
Description: partial 16S ribosomal RNA
Rfam family: Bacterial small subunit ribosomal RNA
Source: RNAcentral